UCUUCUGUUCACGCUGACAGCAACUGCGAGCACUCUGCUUAAUGAUGAUUAUAAGUGCUUCCUGUUGUUGUCAAUGUGAAUCAGCCAC
Molecule: microRNA precursor, 88 nt
Filed under: Petromyzon marinus (sea lamprey)
Lineage: Eukaryota; Metazoa; Chordata; Hyperoartia; Petromyzontiformes; Petromyzontidae
Description: miRNA (ENSPMAG00000011661.1)
Source: RNAcentral